This 72-nucleotide transfer RNA is filed under the name Saccoglossus kowalevskii. RNAcentral's name for it is "tRNA-Asn". It matches the Rfam family "tRNA". From Rfam's summary of the family: Transfer RNA (tRNA) molecules are approximately 80 nucleotides in length. Their secondary structure includes four short double-helical elements and three loops (D, anti-codon, and T loops). Lineage: Eukaryota; Metazoa; Hemichordata; Enteropneusta; Harrimaniidae. The record is from RNAcentral.
GCCGUGAUCGUCUAGUGGUUAGGACAUUGCGUUGUUCCCGCAAUAACCCAGGUUCGAAUCCUGGUCUCGGCA